CUGGGAAUCAAUGUGUGAGGUGGUGCUAUGUAGCAGGAACCCCUCUUGCUUUGCAAAUAGUUUUUUGUUUGUUUUCCUUUUUGCCCAAUAGAGCCCUGCUCUACUGACCCUUCAAUGUGCCCGUGUGCCUAAAUAUUCCUGGUCGUGUGAAAAGAACCCAGGUAUUAGCUGAACUAAGGAGCACAAUUCUGCAACAUUUUGGCACCCAAACACGGGGCUUGAGAAAUGAAUGCAAUUGGAGAAACUGGUUGUUUUACCAGGCGUUGAUUGGAAAUGUGUGCUUCCCUUUAAGCAGUCAAGCUCAACUUGCAGAACUGAUGGGAACCCCUUGGGAAAACUGGCCUCAAAUGUUUGUCUACACAGUCCACAUACAGGGUUCUUAACCUGCGGAAACACUUUCUGAAAAUGUCAGAACUCUUGAAAACAUGGAUGAGGAAAAGCAUAAGUACUGCUUUAUGCUUUUCUUAUGAAUUUUAAAAGAUGUAAUUUAAAGAUUGAAACUCCCACAACUUUGGCAGACCAACUCCUCAGAAAACAUUAUUCUUUGACAUCAAUAUGUUUUGCACAAAAUUGAAUGGCAAGUGAAAGGCAUCAAAUGCAUAUUUAACUAUCCGGCUAUUUUGGAGAUUGAAAAAAGAAGACCUGAUUUAUCAUGUGCAAUAUCUCACACAUCUGUCAUUUCUAUUCUACCGCAAUUCGAUGGAGUCUUGUUCUGUGGUCCAGGCUAGAGGGCAGUGGCAUGAUCUCGGCUCACUACAAGCUCUGCCUCCCGGGUUCACGCCAUUCUCCUGCCUCAGCCUCCUGAGUAGCUGGGACUACAGGCGCCCGCCACCACGCCUGGCUAAUUUUUUGUAUAUUUACUAGAGAUGGCUAGUGUUAGCCAAGAUGGUCUCGAUCUCCUGACCUCGUGAUCUGCCCACCUCAGCCUGCCAAAGUGCUGGGAUUACUGGCGUGAGCCACCGUGCCUGGCCAGCAUCCUCUAAUUAUUAUUCAUAGUUUGUGAAUUUAGGCCUACGUGAAUAAUAAUAUAAUAUUUACUAUGAUGUUACUAUCUACCAACCUUAUUUUUCUUUUCUAUAAAAUAGGAGCCAAAAUAAUAUUUAUGUCAUACCUUAUGAAGUUAAAAUAAAAUAUAACGAAUGAGGGGCUUAA
Molecule: long non-coding RNA, 1152 nt
Filed under: Homo sapiens (human)
Lineage: Eukaryota; Metazoa; Chordata; Mammalia; Primates; Hominidae
Description: PREDICTED lncRNA (TCONS_00210565)
Source: RNAcentral